Molecule: RNA transcript, 8876 nt
Organism: Trichogramma pretiosum
Lineage: Eukaryota; Metazoa; Arthropoda; Insecta; Hymenoptera; Trichogrammatidae
Gene name: rap guanine nucleotide exchange factor 2-like
Exons: 17
Source: RefSeq, a predicted model, not a curated record
UGGCUCACGGCUGUGUUGUAUACUGUAUAUAUACUGCGUGUGUGUGUUGCACCGCCAACCAACGCCGCGACGCCGUUUCUCGUGUUUUAUAAAACGUAUACAUAUACAUACGUGUACGAGCCUCGCUUGCAUUUAUACGCGCGACAUUUAUACUCGUGACAUUUAGUCGCGCGCAAAAGUACAUGCUCUAGUGUGCAAUUAUUUCGUUUUUCUCCUUUUUUUCUUUUGGGUUUCUCUCAAAAGAGUGUGAUACGAAUUACACAACGUCUCUGUAGGUCUGCAGUGAUUUUGUGCCAGCGCGGGCUUUCUUUGUUGUGACAGUGUGUUUUUUUGCGCGCCGAGAGCAUAUUUUAGCAGUGGUUUUUCUAGUUUAGGGGGAAAUAACAAAAAAGCGACAACGAACCACCACCGACACACAAAAAAAAGGGCCAGCGAAGCAAGACACACAGAUGUUAAUUCAUGCUCCGGUUGAGAGACAAGAGUCCGCUGUUAUAUGCACCUCAUCAUCCUCUGUGAGCCGUCGUGUGCAGCAGCAUCAACGUCGCGACGAAAAUCUCGAGCGUCUAUUUUGCCGCUCGGCCCAAGAGUAACAGAAGAAGACGAAGAGAAGAAGAAGAAGAAGUAGAGGAAAGAGUAGGAGGAGGAAGCACAAGAAGAAGAAAGAAAAAGAGAGGAAGAAGAAGAACACUUUGUGCGCAAAGACACGAGAGUUUUUUUCUCUCUCACUCUCUACGCACGCCAUAUUAUAUAGCGCGCAACUCGACUCAAGAAGAGAGCGACUGCUGGCACCGCGAGACGCGCCUCGUGUAUAUACCCAACAUUUUGCCUCGUAAAAGGUAAAUUAAGAGACACGAGAGCAGCAGCUCGCGUAACGCGUUAACCGUUGUAAAUCGUUGUUACACUUUGCAUCGUCGUGCGCUGCGAUCACGCGCAGCAGUAUACAGUAGCAGUUUAUUUUUUUGCCGCUCUCCGCGCGAACGUUAUUUACUCGCGUUUUCAUGGAAAUAAAUUGCUCCGGAGUUCGAUCGAAUAAUAUACAAGUCGGUAUCGUCAGCGUCGUCGCAAGUAACGCCGCGUUGUAACGGCAUCUCUCAUCCGUGCCGAAUAAAUAAAUUUGCGGCAACGAAGUCACAGAGAGCAGCGACAAACAUCACCGCGUAAGCAGCGUCGCUUCAACGAUGCCGAGAAGAAGGUGCACGGGCUGAUCGGCUGCGGGCGGGGCGGCGAGAAAUGGCGAUCAUCGAAAAUUCGCCUCUGGCAGAAGAAGAAAAAGAACGACGACGACAACGACGAAGAUGCAGAAGCACACGCAAGCGGGCCAGCUGCAGCGCAACAACUCGCAGGCCGGCGGCCAUCACAGGGCGCCGGUGCGACGCUGGAACAGCUUUCACGGCGGCAACUACGCGAGCAGCGCGGAGGGCCAGCAGCAGCAGCUCGCCAUGCUGCAGCACAGAUACAGCAACGCCGGUGGCUAUCAGUCGUCCCAGCUGCAGCGGGACGGCCAGCAGCAGCUGCCUCAGGCGGUCUAUCCGGCCACGUUCAUGUAUCAGGAGGCCUACAUGGGCUCGAGGGCGAUACCGAGGCUGCCGCGAGCCGUGCAGGCGCUGAGGAGCGAGAGCGUCGACAGGUCGCAUCCGCCGAGGGUGCAGCCGCCGCCGCCUCCGGCCUUUCCGAGGAGGCGAUUUUCCGUUUGUUUUGGAAAGCGGACCGGCGGCAGCGCAAGGAGGCCAAACGAAUGCUUCGUCCUCGAACCAUCCGAGUUGAUUGCUAUCGACUAUCCGGAAGUACACAGCGGCAGAAUGCAUCGACCUCCGCAGGCUCAUCCUAUCAGCGACCAUCGACAAGUCAACUUGGUCUUCGAGGAUACGUUUUCACAAGGUCUCACUGGAAGGCCUGAGCUUUAUCAGAAGUCUAAUAGAAGUAGUCAUUCUAGCGAUACAAGCUCAGCUUACAGUGGCUCAGAUACCAUGACUUCUGUACAAAGUUCAUUGGAUCAAGAUCCAGAUGAAGUGGAUCUCUCAGGACUAGUGGAGUCCAUAGUGGAUAGCGAUGAAGAGGAAGACCUUGCAGAAAGCAUGGAUAGUCUCACUGUUAGAGACACAGUCAGGGAAUGUUUAGAAAAAGAUCCUGUAGAUAGAAAUGAAGACGAUAUUGAAGUUCUCUUAGAAUUCACACAACAUCUGAAAGCGUUCACCAACAUGACCCUGGCAGUGAGACGAGCUCUAUGCGCAGUCAUGGUAUUUGCUGUUGUAGAACGAUCUGGAAUGAUAGUUUUAACAGAUGGAGAAGAAUUGGACAGUUGGAGUGUUCUCAUCAAUGGUACUGUAGAAGUUGAAUUCAGUAAUGGAGAUGUUGAAACAAUGUCAGUAGGUGACAGUUUUGGAAUUCUCCCAACCAUGGAUAGACUGCUCCACAGAGGAGUUAUGAGGACAAAAUGCGAUGACUGCCAAUUCGUGUGCGUAACACAAGCAGAUUAUUAUCGAAUACAGCAUCAAGGCGAAGAAAACACAAGGCGGCAUGAGGAAAAUGGCCAUGUGAUUCUUGUGACAGAACUGCGAGGCUCCUUGGAAGGAACACCAGGUGCUCGCCGCGGACACGUUGUUAUCAGAGGCACGGCAGAGCGUUUGAUGCUUCAACUCGUCGAAGAAAACAGUAUUAACGACCCAACGUACGUUGAGGACUUUUUGCUCACACACAGGACGUUCGUAGAAAAUCCGUUGUUCGUUGCACAGCAGCUGCUCGAGUGGUUCGAACAAUCGCACGUUAGAGACAAAGUCGCGCGAGUUGUCUUGCUAUGGGUCAACAACCACUUCACGGACUUCGAAACCGAUCCCGCGAUGAUGGAAUUCUUAGACGCAUUCGAAGCUUGCUUAGAAAAAGAAAAGAUGCAUGGACAGCAAAGGUUAUUACUCAUAGCUUGUGCUGCUAAAGCAAGAACGCGAAACAUCGUGUUAACACGGCCGAGCAGAGACGAGGUGCUACAUUUUAAUAUUCUGGGAGGUUACGAAAGAGGUUUCGGCAUUUUCAUCUCUCAAGUAGAGAAAAAAUCCAAAGCCGAAGAUGUCGGCUUGAAACGAGGUGAUCAAAUGCUCGAAGUUAACGGACAGAGUUUCGAACAUGUUAAUCACGCUAAAGCCUUGGAAAUCCUUCGAGGAUCAACACAUCUAAGCAUCACUGUAAAAUCAAAUCUCUUAGCGUUUAAGGAGAUGUUGCAACAACCGGAUAACUCGACGCGACCGCGCAAUCGGCCCCAAAACAAACCGGAGUAUCUUCCAAGGAUAUCCACUGAUUCAGGAAUAAGACUAUCAUCAUGCGGUGAACCCGCGACCCCAACUAAUAACUCAGUCAAUCCAAUCAACCCAAUCAACCCAGUCAACCCAGCAAUUAGUGGAACUAUACUCAAUCCCUCUGAUAGUAACAAUACGUCGCCUUGUAAAGAUGUGAAAAAAGAGCAUAAAGGUUUCAUGACUCUUGGGCCAAGAAAAAGGUUUCAGAGGGCUCUUAUGAAAAUGAAUAUUUUGCCAAAAAAUAUGAUCAAGUUUCAUUUGGCUUUCAGUGACGGAAUGCACGCAGAUGAUCCGCUUGGUCCUCCACGUUCGCCACCGGGUACUGGACUCGCCAAUCAAACUUCAAAUCUCUAUCACUCGCGUUCGAAUCCAGAUUUAACCUCACUCUAUAGCACGUACGAUGAAGUACGUGCACCAGAUUAUCCAGAACACGUUCUAAAAGUGUACAAAGCAGACCAAACUUGCAAAUACUUACUCGUGCACAAAGAAACGACCGCUCACGAAGUUGUCAUGUUGGCUCUACGAGAAUUCGGUAUUACGGAAAGCAGUUCCAAUUUUUCAUUAGCCGAAGUCAGCGUUGGUGAAGGUGGAAUGAUCAAACAAAAACGACUGCCAGACCAGUUGCAAAACCUCGCAGAAAGAAUCGGUUUGAGCUCCAGAUAUUACCUGAAAACUAAUGGUAUAUCGGAAACGCUUGUAGCCGAUGAGCAGGCACCUGAAUUGGUGCGAGAAUCGCAGGUGCACUUCCUGCAGCUAAAUGCUGGCGAAGUUGCUAUUCAAUUAACUUUACAAGACUACAGUAUUUUCCGACAAAUUGAGUCAACAGAAUACGUUGACGAUCUUUUCGAAUUGAAGAGUAAAUAUGGUACACCAAUGUUGAGACAAUUUGCCGAGCUCGUUAAUCGAGAAAUGUUUUGGGUUGUAACCGAAGUGUGUUCGGAACAUAAUGUCGUCCGACGAAGCAAAAUUAUCAAACAGUUCAUCAAGAUAGCUCGCCAAUGCAAGGAGUGUAAAAACUUCAACUCAAUGUUUGCAAUUAUCUCAGGUUUGGGUCACGGGGCGGUAUCGAGGCUUAGAUCUUCCUGGGAAAAGCUGCCAAGCAAGUAUCAAAGACUCUUCAGCGACUUGCAAGAGCUUAUGGAUCCGAGUCGCAAUAUGAGCAAAUAUAGACAAUUGGUUGCCAGCGAACAAACUCAACCAGCUCCAAUCAUUCCAUUUUAUCCAGUAGUUAAAAAAGAUCUUACCUUUAUUCAUCUUGGAAAUGAUUCCGAAGUAGAAGGAUUAGUGAAUUUCGAGAAGCUUCGGAUGAUUGCCAAAGAAGUUCGUAACUUAACGAACAUGUGUUCAUCGGCCUAUGACUUGAUGACCAUGCUAGAACGUGGAGGGCAACCACCAAGUUCUGCAAUGGUAGCGUUGAAUCAAAUGACAACUGGUACCCAAACUCUUACGACGCAACAAACCGCAACAGUGAAAAGACGUAAAAAGUCAGCGGCAGCACCAAAUCCAAAGAAAAUGUUCGAAGAAGCACAAAUGGUUCGUCGAGUCAAAGCAUAUCUGGGUGAUAUGAAAGUCAUUACGGACGAGGAAAAACUCCACCAGUUAUCGGUUGAGUGUGAACCACACGUUGGACAAGUCGGAGGAAUGGCUUCUUCGGUCCCACUCAGUAGCUCGCGGGGCAGAAGACAUCCAUCUCCAACCUUGUCAACGACGAGCAGUGCUAGUAGUACAAGUGAGGGCAGAAAGAGCAUACAAGGUACGAAGUUUGGAGCAGCGUCGCCACAAGCAGUACGUAAAAUGUUAGCCUUAUCAGAUCCACACAAGACACGACCGUAUCAACCGAAGCACUAUGCACCACCACCGCUACCGGUACCUGGUUUGGGUAUUCACUCGGGCAUUGAGUCCUCGCCAGCCGCGCCGAGACGAGUCGGUUCGGCAGGCAGUAGGGCGCCUAUGCACGAGCGUUCGCACAGCGACACACCGUCGAGUCUUCCACCACCCGUUGACCUCAGCGCCGAGAGCAGUAGCGUAACAAGCCUGAGCAAUUUGCAACCUCUCAGAAAGACUCUGACCAGUGGUUCGGUGACCAGUAGUGACAGUGGUCACAGCACUCAGUUGGACAGUCACAGCGGGAGCAGCGUCGAGGCAGGCGGUAGUCCGCCUCCACCGCAGCGCAGACACUCAGCCAUGCAAGCAGGUAUGCAAGUACUGCCGCCGUUCCCGCACGCGGUCGCGGUGUUACCUCCGUUACCCAUGACGCAAGCACGACGCAACCGAUUAGACUCAGGGGCCUCGGACGACGAUCAGUAUCAUCACAACAACCACCACCACCACCACCAUUACCAUCAACAACAUCAAUAUCAUCAUCACGCUCAUCAACAUCAACACCAGCUACUGCAGCAACAGUUACAACAGCAGCUACAGCAGCAAGUACUGCGCCGGAAGCAACAGGUGGCUACGACGCCGCCACCGCCGCCCCGCGACAGACAUCAUUCAUUGUGUACGUUCGACGAAACAGGAAUCGAAGGACCUUUUCUAGGUGGAGCAAACGUAGUAUCGCCAGCUACGAGCAGUAUGCCACCACCGCCUCUGCCACCACCGUUAGGUCCGAGGAAUAAUUUAAGGACAGGAAUCGCAAUACCGCCAGAUUACAAGCUCGCUGCACAAAUGGCCAGACUCCAUCGUUUGGGAAGGGCCCAUAGCCACGAAGGAGUGACCUACAACAACGAGCACGAAGACGGUAUAUAAACACAAUUCGCACUCUCACAACAACAUCAUCAAUGAGAAAAAAGGGAGAGAGGGAGAGAGUGAAAGAGAAAUAGAGAGGGAGAAAUAUAGAUAGAGAGUGAGAUAGAGAGGGAAAAUGUUCAACUCGUGUGUUCGAGCGAUCGCCACCAUCAUCCACCAAUCAUCAUCCAAAUAGUCACUACUACGCCUAUUAUUCAUCGACUGCAACCUUACUGUCUAUUAUAAUGACUGUUACUCCGUUGACUAGAUAACGAAACGACUCUCAGACAUCGAGUUCCAAAGACGACGACGAUGCCCAAGUCUCAGCUGUAUAGGAGCAGCUUCCGGGCCGAGUCCCGGAACGAUCGGCGUCUAUCGCCUGUAGCGGUGAGCUCAAACCUCGUCUCCACUCGUCGUUCGUAGUUCGAGGACCUCGUGGCGUAAGACCCGUUCAGCCUCGGCGAAGCCAUCAAGGACCUCUACUCUGAAUUGUUAAACUGCACCGUUUCGCAACUAUAAAUAUAUGCAACACAAUUCCUGUACAGCCGUGUGUAGUGUCCGUUUCUUUUGAUGUACGUGCGUGUUUGCGUAUCCGCGUGAAUGAAAUUCUUGCAAUAAUGUUUGAGUUUGUGUGGAAAGAACCGUAAUUUGUGUGUAUCUGUAUUCGUGCUUUAUGAAUGCGUAUUUGUUUAUUGCGUAACGAAUGCCAAAUGCGAAAUAUCAUAUUGUAUACAAAAACAUUCAAUGGAACUUUAUUGUUGUGAGUAAUGGACAAGUAACUUGCAUGUUUUAAUGUGACUAUAAAAUGAUGUAUGAACAAUUUAGCAACGUGUACACCGUUGUUAUUAUAAUAUGCAUUCGGAAAAUGUGUAAUAAAUCAAGUCCAAAGAUGAUAAUUCAUAUCGAUAGAUUCUCCGCAGAUCAAGAAGGCAGCGUAAUGUACGAUAUAAUUUUAGUGGCUAGCCCUUCCGAAUCCCUACGACAUAUUUACGUAGUCCCAUAUAUAUUUUUUAUGUACAUAAAUGUGUAUUUUAGUCGUAAAAUAGUUAAAUUAUGACGAUCAAUUAUAAUUGUUCAAAGAAACAGCAACCGUUACUAAAAUAGUAGACCCGAGAGAUUAUUAAUUAUUAUUUUUACGAAAACUGAGAAACGCGUUAUUUCACCUCACCCCCUUAAAGUUCAAACCAUACCGUCAAAACAAUCUAUUAUAUAUUAUAUAAACAGAUCUAUAUAAACCAUCCCUGAUAAAAUUAUAUGAGCACAUACACCCACAUAUAUAUUAUAUAAAUAAUAUAAAAAACAUUCAUUUACAAUAUUCUUCAUUGUACAUAUUUCAAAUGCGUUUUAGAAUCUGUAAUAUUAUGUGUAUAACCGUAAUCAAGUCAGCGGUCUUGGAAUAUAUAUUUAUCUUUACUCGAUGAACAAGAAAAUAACCAAGAAAUCAUUGUUUUCAAAGAAAAUACUUUACUUAUUUAAUUAAUUAUGCUUCAAUUUUUAAUAAAUUUGAGAAAACUAGACAUUUUUAAGGUUCAAAUUGUUCACUAUAACUAUUUCUUUUUAAACAUCAAAAGUCUAUUUAGGCUUUCAUAAAACAUUCAGAUUUGCAUUUAAAUUCAUCUGCAGCAAUGAUGAUUCAGAUAAAAUAUUGCAUGUAUUAAUAAACUCGUUCACAGUAAAAGUGCUCAUUUGUUUGUAAAUAUUUCAUAAGUAAAAAAAAAAAGAAGAAAUUCGUGUAAUGUAUAAGUUUAUCUGGUAUUUCAUUGUCAUUCCAGUCGCAUUUCUAUUAAUUUUAUACACUCUAAUUUAGAGCUUUUUGCAUGACAAGCGUUGAUCUAAAUUUCAAUAAUGUAAUUAAUGUUCAAGGACGUUUAUUCCAUCAUCGAGACCAACUUUUUAAAAAUUAUCCUUGCGAGACAAGCGCACAAAGUUAUCGCAAGUAUUUACUGCUGACGUAUUUUAUUCUCCAGAUGAGAACAAUGUAAUAAAAAUGUAACAUUAAUAUCAUUUCUUUGGAAAAAUAUUGAUGAUAAUGUAUGAAAAUAGAUCCAAUCAUGAAUUUUUGUUCAUACAAUUUUCUUGAUGAAUUUAUUUUUUGCUCGUAGACCGAGUAAAACUGCAAGGAAUGAAUCAUGGAAUAUUAGUAUCAACAAACGAUCAAAAAAUUAGAGAUCUUAUUGAAGUUAAGAAACUAAGUUUCUUUUAUUCGUUAAUUAUGUAAUGAAAAAAGCUUGAGUCAGUGUAAAACAAAAGUCAUGUAUUUUCUUAUGUUUAAUUGUUGCGUUCACAACUUUUAAUAAUAUUAAUUAGUUCGGAUAUACUCACUUUUUCGUAAUUUUCAAGAUUUUACUCUAUUCAUGGUAAGCUUAAAAAUAUUAGCUUGAUAUUUGUUGUAUGCAUCUUGAAAAACGAAAAUAGAAAGGCAAAGAAUUUUUGUAUUUAAUUUUUCUAAUAAAAUUCGAAUGCCAGUACAAAAUAAACCCCUCUUUUGUUCAUUUUAUUAUUUUGAUUCCCUUUUUUCAUUUCAAUAAUACGUAAGAAAAGAAAGUGUGAAAGCUUAACGAAUGUUUAAAGUACAAAAUGCGAAAAAACUAAGAUACUAAUGAUAAUGAUGACGUUCAAUCAUAUUUAGAAUGACUGAGAAUGUUGUAUAUCUACAGUUAGGAUACAUAAUAUCAAUCUCUCGAAUUGUGGCAAUGUAAUAGCUGAGUAAGCAACGAAAACUAUAUAUUGAUAUAUAUUUCUAAAGAAUAAAUGCUUACUGAUAUUAUUGCUCAUCGUAAGAAAAUUUUCCUAAACGAAUUGUAUGUAAUUUCCAGCACACAAUGUAAAUGUUUUCAUGGAAAAAAUACAAAUACAUCUGAUAAA